This 483-nucleotide ribosomal RNA is filed under the name Trichoderma harzianum. RNAcentral describes it as "eukaryotic LSU rRNA". The stretch from base 182 to 335 matches the Rfam family "5.8S ribosomal RNA". The record is from RNAcentral. Lineage: Eukaryota; Fungi; Ascomycota; Sordariomycetes; Hypocreales; Hypocreaceae.
CCAAUGUGAACGUUACCAAACUGUUGCCUCGGCGGGAUCUCUGCCCCGGGUGCGUCGCAGCCCCGGACCAAGGCGCCCGCCGGAGGACCAACCAAAACUCUUAUUGUAUACCCCCUCGCGGGUUUUUUUUAUAAUCUGAGCCUUCUCGGCGCCUCUCGUAGGCGUUUCGAAAAUGAAUCAAAACUUUCAACAACGGAUCUCUUGGUUCUGGCAUCGAUGAAGAACGCAGCGAAAUGCGAUAAGUAAUGUGAAUUGCAGAAUUCAGUGAAUCAUCGAAUCUUUGAACGCACAUUGCGCCCGCCAGUAUUCUGGCGGGCAUGCCUGUCCGAGCGUCAUUUCAACCCUCGAACCCCUCCGGGGGGUCGGCGUUGGGGAUCGGCCCUCCCUUAGCGGGUGGCCGUCUCCGAAAUACAGUGGCGGUCUCGCCGCAGCCUCUCCUGCGCAGUAGUUUGCACACUCGCAUCGGGAGCGCGGCGCGUCCAC